AUGUGGUUCUGUGACUUCCCUGGUGGUUCAGAUAGUAAAGCAUCUGUCUACAAUGUGGGAGACCCAGGUUCGAUCCCUGGGUCAGGAAGUUCCCUGGAGAAGGAAAUGGCAACCCACUCCAGCAUGGAUGGAGGAGCCUGGUGUCCAUGGGGUCACAAAGAGUCGGACACGACUGAGCGACUUCACUUUCACUUUCUGUUGGGAAAGUACCUCUAGGACUGAUCAAACUGAAUGCUGUUUAUCUGGUAAAUAUUUUGGUUCUUGGGAACUACUAUUUAGGUCCUAGGUGUACACCACUGAGAGGGUAAAGAUGGUUUCAGGUUCUAGACAUUUUCUCUUUCUCACAGAUGUUUUUGAAGAUACAUAGAUUUGGUAUGCACGACUAGUCUUUACAAAGUGCUUCAAUACAAAUCCCAUAUGUCAGUUUUCCUUUCAACACCUCCUGAAAUUUCAUCCUUUCAAUGCAGCUGUUUCCUUGCUGUGACCAUGUCUUCACUCCCUGCUUGUCACAGAUUCUAGCUGACCAAUGAUGAGAAUUUGGAGUUCAUGGGAAAUAAACACUGAGUUCUACCUGGGGACGGUCUCCUUGGUCAUGUUGUUGAACAGACCCAGCACAUGGCUCUUGUUACCUGCAGCUUAUUGAAUCCUUGCUUUCAUGUUAAUUUCUAGCUCCAGCUACAACAACAACAACCACUACUCCAACAACUACCACCACUACCACUACUCAAAGAACAGGAGCCACGACUACUACUACUCAAAGAAAAGUGACCAUGACUGCUACACCUCGAAGAGAAACAACCGAGGCUAGUACUCCAACAACGACAGAAACUAUUCAGACAAAAACUACUACUUCAACAACCCCCGUCACCAGUACUCCAACGGCAACCACCACUAUUCCAAAAACGACCACCAGUACUACUCCAGUAACAACUGCCACCACUGCUUCAACAAUCACGAUGAUCACCACUGUUCCAACGACAAUGAAGGCUUCUACCUCUGCUCUUCCGAUGGCAACACCCACAGAGGACUUCCAGCCAGUACCUUCUCCAACGCAGGCUGCAGAAACCAAGCCUACCACACCAUAUGAAACAAAUAAAACUUGCUCACCAUCAUACUCUUGCUCAACAGAAACUACAUAGAAAGAGCCACAAGGCCCUCCCGCUGCCUUGUUAAGCUUUCAUUUCACAUGGACACUUUGAGAUGGGUUGAGAACAUGGACAGGAGAACCAAAGAGUCAUGCCCUACUAGGAUUGGGCUAUGCCACCAGAAAAGUCUCCCUGCUCUCCCCAAUUUUGGAAAAUCCAUAUUCUUUUCAGAGGGGCUGGUACAAGGUCCAUGGAUGAGCACCGACAAGGGAGUCUCCAUUGGAAUCUCUGUUGCUGUCUUGGUAGUAUUGCUCAUAUUUGUGGUAUUCUGGAUUAACAAAAGUAAGUCACCUCAGGACUGUGCCCACAGGAGUAUUCUUGAGCCAAACGACCUGUAG
Molecule: long non-coding RNA, 1483 nt
Filed under: Bos indicus x Bos taurus (hybrid cattle)
Lineage: Eukaryota; Metazoa; Chordata; Mammalia; Artiodactyla; Bovidae
Description: lncRNA (ENSBIXG00000027380.1)
Source: RNAcentral